Molecule: ribosomal RNA, 500 nt
Filed under: uncultured bacterium
Lineage: Bacteria
Description: partial 16S ribosomal RNA
Rfam family: Bacterial small subunit ribosomal RNA
Source: RNAcentral
AUUGAACGCUGGCGGAAUGCUUUACACAUGCAAGUCGAACGGCAGCACGGACUUCGGUCUGGUGGCGAGUGGCGAACGGGUGAGUAAUGUAUCGGAACGUGCCCAGUCGUGGGGGAUAACGUAGUGAAAAUUACGCUAAUACCGCAUACGAUCUAUGGAUGAAAGCGGGGGAUCGCAAGACCUCGCGCGAUUGGAGCGGCCGAUAUCAGAUUAGGUAGUUGGUGGGGUAAAGGCCCACCAAGCCAACGAUCUGUAGCUGGUCUGAGAGGACGACCAGCCAGACUGGAACUGAGACACGGUCCAGACUCCUACGGGAGGCAGCAGUGGGGAAUUUUGGACAAGGGGCGAAAGCCUGAUCCAGCCAUUCCGCGUGCAGGAUGAAGGCCCUCGGGUUGUAAACUGCUUUUGUACAGAACGAAAAGGUUUCUACUAAUACUAGGAGCUCAUGACGGUACUGUAAGAAAAAGCACCGGCUAACUACGUGCCAGCCGCCGCGGUAA